RNAcentral lists this ribosomal RNA (491 nucleotides) under uncultured bacterium. Its description in RNAcentral is "partial 16S ribosomal RNA". It matches the Rfam family "Bacterial small subunit ribosomal RNA", at positions 29 to 506 of the family's 1533-position model. The record is from RNAcentral.
AGUGAACGCUGGCGGUAGGCCUAACACAUGCAAGUCGAACGGCAGCACAGUAAGAGCUUGCUCUUACGGGUGGCGAGUGGCGGACGGGUGAGGAAUACAUCGGAAUCUACUUUUUCGUGGGGGAUAACGUAGGGAAACUUACGCUAAUACCGCAUACGACCUACGGGUGAAAGCAGGGGAUCUUCGGACCUUGCGCGAUUGAAUGAGCCGAUGUCGGAUUAGCUAGUUGGCGGGGUAAAGGCCCACCAAGGCGACGAUCCGUAGCUGGUCUGAGAGGAUGAUCAGCAACACUGGAGCUGAGACACGGUCCAGACUCCGACGGGAGGCAGCAGUGGGGAAUAUUGGACAAUGGGCGCAAGCCUGAUCCAGCCAUACCGCGUGGGUGAAGAAGGCCUUCGGGUUGUAAAGCCCUUUUGUUGGGAAAGAAAAGCAGCAGGUUAAUACCCCGCUGUUCUGACGGUACCCAAAGAAUAAGCACCGGCUAACUUCGU